UAAAGCGCACGGCGACCUGGGGCUCUCAGACGUGCGCCGUGUGGCUCUGGGCUGAAGGGGACCCAGCUGGCCGCGACAGCCCAGGACGCCGGGGAAGGGUUGCCGAGAAUACUCCAGUGUUCCCAGCAGGGUGGGCAGCGCUCCGUUAUCACGUGAUACUCCUGCUUCGAAGUCUGUUUAGAGAGGAAAACACAGUUAUAAAUAAUCGGAGGAGACUCACUAGCUGCAGCCUGUGCUCCAGAAGAGUGGUUUGCGGGGGCCAUAAACACCAGGAGGCCGGGUCAAUGGGGCCAUCUCAGAGGUGGCCUCCCACAACCGUGGACUGAAGGGAGAUGGAUUUGGGGGCAAUUGACUGUGACUGGAACCACUUUUCUAAGGGGAAGUCAGUCAUUUACCCUGAUGAGGGGAGUGGCUUCCAGCCGCCACGAGAGCCAGUGUCUGAGUGAGCAUUCUGGUGUCUUUGGGGGAGACAUUUGUGCAUAGAAAAGACUUCAUAUCUAAAUUAACCUUCAGUGUAUUGAAACUACCAAUUAAAAACACUGUCUUUCUUAGGCUUCAAAGUUCUUUCAAAAGUUAGUCUAUUUAUAAAUCUAGUAAAUUCAAACUGUCACUUUCAGGGAGGUCUUUGAUUAAUGUUCAACCAACUUCAGUUUCAACAGCUUCACAUGCCAUGUUGAAUCUCAGUUAAUUAAAUCCCCUUAACUGUUCUGCCUUCACAAAUUUAAACUGUUCAAUUUUCUUCUGAAACUCAACGGAAGCUAAACCUUCCCAAGUACUUAACUCUUAGAAUAAAUUACAAGAGUAUCAAGAUCUUUUAAACAUUCCAGGACCAUUUAGUCAUUUAGAAAAGUUCUCUUUCACAUUUCCAUGAAAAAUUACAAGUCUGAAAUAACAAAUGAGUCCAUUACAAUUUACAUUGGAAGGCUAUGUUUACAGGACAAAUUUGUCACAUUUCUCCCUAUGCCAAAUUCUCUCUCUUUUUUUUUUUCCCAAAAUAUUUAUUUAUUUUUAGAGAGAGGGGAAGGGAAGGAGAAAGAGUGGGAGAGAAACAUCAAUGUGUGAUUGCCUCUCAUGUGUCCCCCACUGGGGAACUGGCCUGCAACCCAGGCAUGUGCCCUGACUAGGAAUCGAACUGGUGACCCUUUGCUUUACAGGCCCGUGCUAAAUCCACUGAGCUACGCCAGCCAGGGCCCAAAUUCUCUUAAACAUAGCAAACCCUUUAAAUACCAAUAUCCUGGGUGUCUUAAACAUAACACAAAAGUAUUUAAUCCUGUGGGUUUGAUCGGCUUUCUGUUUAAUUGUAUGUCUUCCUUACA
Molecule: long non-coding RNA, 1316 nt
Organism: Artibeus jamaicensis (Jamaican fruit-eating bat)
Lineage: Eukaryota; Metazoa; Chordata; Mammalia; Chiroptera; Phyllostomidae
Exons: 3
Source: RefSeq, a predicted model, not a curated record